RNAcentral lists this transfer RNA (66 nucleotides) under Xylosandrus morigerus. RNAcentral describes it as "tRNA-Leu". The record is from RNAcentral. Lineage: Eukaryota; Metazoa; Arthropoda; Insecta; Coleoptera; Curculionidae.
GUUACUUUGGCAGAAAAGUGUGAUAGAUUUAGAAUCUUUUUAUAUAGCUUAUAGCUAUAGGUAAUA